RNAcentral lists this ribosomal RNA (468 nucleotides) under uncultured bacterium. RNAcentral's name for it is "partial 16S ribosomal RNA". It matches the Rfam family "Bacterial small subunit ribosomal RNA", at positions 28 to 507 of the family's 1533-position model. The record is from RNAcentral.
GAUGAACGCUGGCGGCGUGCUUAACACAUGCAAGUCGAACGGAAAGGCCCUGCUUUUGUGGGGUGCUCGAGUGGCGAACGGGUGAGUAACACGUGAGUAACCUGCCCUUGACUUUGGGAUAACUUCAGGAAACUGGGGCUAAAACCGGAUAGGAGCUCCUGCUGCAUGGUGGGGGUUGGAAAGUUUCGGCGGUUGGGGAUGGACUCGCGGCUUAUCAGCUUGUUGGUGGGGUAGUGGCUUACCAAGGCUUUGACGGGUAGCCGGCCUGAGAGGGUGACCGGCCACAUUGGGACUGAGAUACGGCCCAGACUCCUACGGGAGGCAGCAGUGGGGAAUAUUGCACAAUGGGCGGAAGCCUGAUGCAGCAACGCCGCGUGCGGGAUGACGGCCUUCGGGUUGUAAACCGCUUUCGCCUGUGGCGAAGCGUGAGUGACGGUAAUGGGUAAAGAAGCACCGGCUAACUACGUG